Molecule: long non-coding RNA, 302 nt
Filed under: Rhinopithecus roxellana (golden snub-nosed monkey)
Lineage: Eukaryota; Metazoa; Chordata; Mammalia; Primates; Cercopithecidae
Description: lncRNA (ENSRROG00000046006.1)
Source: RNAcentral
AAGGGAUUGGACCCUUAGCUGUCUGGCUGCAACUCACCUGCUGUGCCCUCAGCUUUUUCUGGUGUGCAGAUAGAGGGUGGGACUGGCAUUGCCUGGGACAGUCCCUAACCUGGGACAGCCUUCGAUGAUAUCACACCUGCACACCUCUGCAAGGAACCCGGUGGAGAGGAUGAGUGAAAUAGCCUGUGGGCAGCAGAGCCUGGAAGAACAGAGAACGGCAGGCAUGGCCCUGCUAUUCGCAGGGGGUUGCGUCUUCUUCCCGUUGUGCUUCACUGUCCUGCGCUGGGGCUUGCAGAACCACG